UCCCAGAGCAAGGGAUGUGUGCAGCUGCCU
RNAcentral lists this non-coding RNA (30 nucleotides) under Homo sapiens (human). The record is from RNAcentral. Lineage: Eukaryota; Metazoa; Chordata; Mammalia; Primates; Hominidae.